CCUAAGCCUGGCUUGGGACAGGUGACAAUGCUAUAGUCUCCCAGAGGGCUUCAUGUCUGUGGAGCUGGAGAUACCACACUGACCUUAGCCCCCACUUUCUGACCUUAGCACCACCACUUCAAAGGGCAGUUUCUGCUUCCCACAGAGGACAUCAAUGUUGGGCCUGUGACUGACAGCAGCCAUCUGGUUUCAGGAAGUAUACUCUGGUGGGUUGCUACAGAGGAACAAUCAUCACUUCUUCCCAGGAGCAGAGGGCACAGACAUCAGGAGCCAAUGUUCAAAACCAACAUGGGAACUGGAUCCUUGCAAGCACAGCAUGGAGUUAUAAGAAGGUCUGACGACACAUACAGCUGCAGAGGAGACAAAAGAGAGACAGACAGAGCUUUGGCAGAGGUCUGAGUGACAGCGAUCUGCUACAGGGCUCCGAGGAAAGUCACUCUUGUCUAACCGGCACACUGGAGCUGCAGGCUGACCACCAAAGGCUGAAGCCAAAGCUCCACAUGGACGUCUUCUCACCCAGGCAGCCUGGCAGCCCUUCUCAGGACUUCCCUCUAUGGGACACUUCUGCACAGGACUCUGGUGACCUCACUGGACAGGGAGUGCUGCUCUUUUCUCAGCUGCAGGCUAUUGAGGAAGAGGCUAUUGGUUGAGGGUGACAGAGAGUAGCCAGUGUGGGCUGUGGCUUCAUCUCUCAGGUAGGUACAGGGAUAAGUUUUGAGUAGAGUGGCC
Arvicanthis niloticus (Nile rat) is the source of this 729-nucleotide non-coding RNA. Lineage: Eukaryota; Metazoa; Chordata; Mammalia; Rodentia; Muridae. The record is from RefSeq and is a predicted model, not a curated record.